UACGAGGGGUGCAAGCGUUAUUCGGAUUUAUUGGGCGUAAAGGGUGUGUAGACGGCAUGUUAAGUCAACUGUUAAAUUCCUCGGCCUAACUGAGGGUAUGCGGUAGAAACUGGCGUGCUAGAGGGUGAGAGAGAGAAGUGGAAUUCUCGGAGUAGCGGUAAAAUGCGUAGAUCUCGAGAGGAACACCGAUGGCGAAGGCAGCUUCUUAGCUCACUCCUGACGUUGAGGCACGAAAGCGUGGGGAGCAAACAGG
This 253-nucleotide ribosomal RNA is filed under the name uncultured bacterium. RNAcentral's name for it is "partial 16S ribosomal RNA". It matches the Rfam family "Bacterial small subunit ribosomal RNA", at positions 524 to 776 of the family's 1533-position model. The record is from RNAcentral.